GGGCACCUUCAACCAACACUAUACCAUCCUACCCUUUGGUGCAUUUCACUUGGUCUAGGUCAAGAGCCUUCCGCUCCCUGGCCUUGGCAAACCUAUACAACUUCUUAUCUCCUCUAAAGCCACAUACAAGCUCUCGAAAGCUACUGUCUUAGCCGUCGUAACCGCUUACUUAGCCUCUCUUCUAGCUAACAUAUACUUCUCCCUAUUCGUCUGCCUCUCCUUAUUAUCCUUGCUCUCAACCAACUUAGCAUAGACCACCUUCUUAGUCUCUGCCUUCCGCUUGACUUCUUUGUUCCACCACCAGUCCCCCUGGUGCUUUCCAGCUCUGUCUCUCGAGACACCCAACGGCCAACACCUCUCUAGCGGUUUCCCUAAUGCAACCGACAGUUGUCUCCCACAUACUAUCCACAUCCCCUCUACUCUCCCAAGCCCCCAUAGUCGUCAACUUCUCCCCUAUUUCCAAAGCACUGGCCAAAGCCAAGCUGUUACCCCUCUUAAUCCUGGGCCGAUCCUCCACUCUCCUCUUUUUUCUGCCCUUUUUGAUAACCAAGUCCAUCACCAACAGCUUUUGUUGAGUUAAAAGAGUUUCCUGGCUUCCUAAUAAGUGUGUUUAAUAUCAUUGGCCUUAGAUCCUAUUUUGACUGUUUCAUCUGCUUUCUUUCUACCGUCUUAAUAGGUAUUUGACUAUCUUCUGACUUUGCUUCAUUGUCUCUCUUGCGUUUAGAUAUUUCAAACUCCUGAAGGAACACUUUCCACUGAACAAGGUGUUUACAUUGCUGAAUCUGUUGCAACUAAGAACACAAAACAACCAAAAGGCCGUUUUAGGCUUUAUGAUAACAAUGAUGCUGUGAGUGCACAAUCUAUCUUUCUCAAGUCCAGAAUUGAAUAUUUUCUUUAUUUACUUCUCUUAUGGCAGAGUUUGCUUUUUCGUAUAGGACCAAAUGAGUUCUAAUCAUACUGCAAGGCGUGAACCCUCUAGCAAAGAGGUUACUGGAGCUGGGAAAAAAGAUGGUGGCAAAUCAUCAAAGAAAGCUGGUACCUUUUUGGUCUUUUCUGUUUUUACUGAACUUAAUUUUAUCAUGGUAGAUAAUUUUGUUAAUAUUUCUUAGAUAAAGACAAGGGAAAAAGUGCAAAGGAAGAGGCACGUGAGGUGCAGCUAAGGGAGGAGGCAUAUAUACGUGAAAAGGUCAUGGUUGUAAAAAAUAAUCUUUCGGCAAUGUUGAAAGCUUUGGGAGAAAUGGCCAUAGCUAAUCCUGUCUUCACUCACAGUCAGCUACCUUCCUUGGUUAGUGUGCUCUAUGCUCUCUGCUAUAUAGUAUAAUAUCUUGACUGUACUUUAAGCAGGUAUCAUCUAAUACAUAUUCUACUCAACCAAACCCCCAUCGAUAAAAUAAAUGCCUAUGUUGCUUAGGAAAAAUGUAGGAAAUAUUACUGAAGUGGAAGUUUCAGUUGUUAUCUCUUGUUUGAUGAAUAUUUGGAUUAUUAGAUUCUGCCGGUCUUUACUAUUAUAGGAAACUAUAUAAUGAGGAAUCAGCAUCUUAGAACAUAUUUCCAUGUUCCUAUUAUUUCGUGCAAAAAGGGUUGCUUUGAUCCUACUUUAUAUUGGCUCGUUAAUAAGAAGAAAACGUUUGUGCUGAUCAGUCAGCAAAGAGUACCAAUAGUGGGUCUUUUGAGGAAUCUGUACUUUGAGUUAAAGUAGAGUUACCUUCGGUAUCUUUGUUAUAUCAUCUAAAUUUUGAAUUUUAUCCGAGUCUCAACUCCUAAGGAGCGUUGAUUUCUCAGAAAAGCAGCGAGUCCUUGUUAGCCUAUUGCGGAAUACUUUGAAAUUCAGACUUCAGACAUGUUAGAUUUUGAUGGCCCACAAUAUAAAACCAUCAAUUCUCAUAUUUUCAGCUGAUGAUCGGGGGCACCUAGCUGAUAUUACCUUUUUUUUUCUUAAAAAAAAAUAUUAGUGAACAUAUAGUUCAAUUGGACAAUUGAAAUAUUAUUAUUAUUUAAUGAAGUGGGUUGAGAACCAUGAGGUCUCAUGUUCAAUUCCUAGCAGGCAGAAACACAAACACUAGGUGAUUUCUUCUCAUCUGUACACGCCUUGGUGGACAGAGUUACUUAGUACCUGUGCUGGUGGGAGUUAGCAGGUCCUCGUGGAAUUAGUCAAAGGUGCGGGCGCUCCCCAACACCACGGUUAUAAAAUAAUAGGUUCAGUAAACUUCACAAUAGGUUCCGUAAACUUCAAAAAUUAGUCAAUAUUAUCCCACUUCUCAUCAUUCAUUAUAAAGGAUUUUAUUUCACAAGUUUUGGCUUCAAUUUCCUUAUCCCCUUAUAAUUCUUCCAUUCAUCAUCCAUGACCAUCUUCUCUAAAGAAGAUUUCACUUUGCGAAUACGAGUCGACAAAAUAACAUAUGAAGUAAAUCUUGUCUCACCAACUUUCAAUAAACACAAAUCUGAAUGUUUUUGAAAAAUCGCAUGUGCCAUGUCAUGAUUCACAACAAAGUUUUUCAAAUUACUCACUUCACUAAGUAACUUCGAGAUCCAUUGGCAAUUAGCAAAGUGAGAUGAUUUAUCAGACGGUUGGCACAUACUUUUCAAAGUUAGAUUCAAACAAUGAACAACACAAGGAGUCCAAAAUAUAUGAGGAUAAUUUUCCUCCACCAUAGUUCCGGCAAGUCAUAUUACUUGCGUUAUCUGUAAUAACUUAAACAACAUUAUUUGGACUUACUUUUUCUAUUGCUUUAACAAACAAAUUAACAAUAUAUUCUCCACCCUUCAUGCACCCACUAGAAUUUAUUGAAUUUAAUAACAUUGGAUUCCCACGAGAUGAUGUCAAUAUAUUGAUCAAAGGUCGUCUUUUAGUGUCAGACUAUCCGUCCGAACAAAUCGACAACCCUUUCUUUUUUCAUGUAUCUUUAAUUGGUUGCAAUUUUCUAUUAAUGUGAGUCUUUUCUUGGUCUAAAAGAGUUGUUCUCAACCUAUUAUAUGAUGGGGGAAUCUAAUCGGGGAUGGAAUUUUCAGCUAAAAACGUCGAAUAUUUUUUCAAGUAUGGAGAAUUGGCUAAAUUGAAUGAUAAACCUGAUGCGUAGAACAUUCUAGCCGCUGAUUUGUCGGCAGUAUUCCUCUCAUGGAUGCCGAAAGAUUUUCCUAUAGCUCCACUUUCUGAACUCUUUUUUUUUUGUUGGAAGUAAAUCAGUGCCCUCCGGAAGAGAUACAUAAUCAACUUUUUUUCUUGCAUUAACUUGAACUGAAGAUUUUUUAUUUUCAGCUUGUUCGUGCUCCAUCUUCAAAAUUCUCAAUGUAUCACCUUGAACUUCGCUAUAUAUUUGAACGCCUUGACCCGAUAAUCUUAACAGAUGUGCUUUAAUUCUAUUAUAUGUUCCAGUAACUUGUUUAUUACAAUAGUUACAUGACCAUGUUCUAUUUCCACCACCAUUGAGAGCAGUUGAAAUUACUUUUACAUGAUUCCAUUGUGGUUUGUCAUCAAAAUCUACUCCUAUACUUUUUGUUAGUCUCAUAGGACCUUUUCCCUUUUGACUACCCGAUGUGGAUGAUGCCAUAUUAUUUGAUAAAGAAUAAUCAAAUUUUUAAUUUAAAAUUUCUUUUGACAGACGUUCUAUUUAUAAUGUUAUGGAUGAAGACAAUCUUAGACUUUUCCCAAUUUAAAUCAAUUUAAUGUUCCUUGACACAUAAGGAUUAGGAUUUAUUUAUUUUAGUUAAUUUACUAUUUUUAGUUAUUUUUGUCUUUUGAUUUCACUUUUUAAUUAGGAAUAGUAUUUCUAUUAAAAACUUUUUCCAAAAUUACAACUCACGUUUAUUUACUAAAAUAAAAAACAAAUAUAAUUAAGAACUUAAAAAAUGCUGUCAAAGUAAAAUACAUGACCGACAUAAAAUAUCCUUACUGAGGAUCGACAUAGUAAAGUAACUCUUUAUUAAUUAAAAAUAAUAUUAAAAAAAAAAGACCAUACAUCACCGACAUAAAAUAUCCUUACUGAGGGACUGACAUAGUAAAGUAACUCUUUAUUAAUUAAAAAUAGUAUUUACAAAAAAAAACCUGUAGACAAAAGUUUCAAAACAGUGAAUUUGACUUGAAAAAAAAAAACGUCUUCUGUGUAAACGCCGACUGCGCCAAUGAUUUCCGGUACCCUAAGGUGGUACGAAGACUGCGCAGAUGAUUUACGGCAACGUCGACAAUGAUUUCCGGCGACAUCGACGAUGAUUUCCGGGAACGGCACAUCGACAACACCGUUUCUGUUCCGGUGGUCGUUGGUCGGGAUUUUUUAAGGUAAGUUGCUGGUUAAUUAUUCAAUGUUUCCACUCAAAUUUUCUUUAAAUUGGUCAACGUCUCCGAAAUCGGUUGACCGAAUCAGAGACGUUGCCGGUUAAUUAUUCAAUGUUUCCACUCAAUUUUUCUUUAAAUUGGUCAACGUCUCCGAAAUCGGUUGACUGAAUCGGAGAAGGCGGAAGCAUCCGUCCCCGUCUCGUGUCGAGACGGGUUCGGCGGCAAAACAGCCGAGUCCGAGCAACAUAGGUUGUACGUGGUAAGCUGCAUAUAUUAAUCACCUCUGACUCAAGACAACUUGCAAAAGAGAGGCUACAACAUGCAUAGCUGUCGAUGUGAAAGAGGGAUGGAAGUAAUUUUGACAUAUUCUUGUAUUGAGGUCGUAUCUAAACUCUGGGAAAUGUUUCUGAAUAUGCUCAACUUGAAAUGGGCAAUGCCUUAUCUCAAGACCUACUGUUUUGCUGGAAUGGAGAAGUUAUCACCAAGAAGAAAAGAUGGACGUGGCACACAAUCCCUGCAUGCACCUGGUGGAUAAUUUGGAAGGAGAGGAACCUCAGGUGUUUAAAAAAGAUCGCAGCCAUCCGUAAAAUCAAGAUUGGCUGCAUAUUCUUGCUGUCAUUUUUUGUGUAAAAAUUAACAAAUAGACUAAUAGAGAACAGAGAAGAGAAGCUCAUAGAGUUCAUCAGUGUUAUACAGGACUGGGAAGUUACCUUUUGUUGUCAUGUAAAUGCCAUAUGCCCAUGUCCUUGCUGUCUAUGUAGGUUAGUUAGCAUAUAAGGAAGUCAGGUGCAAUCUUUUGCUCUAGAGAACCUCCUUGGUGCUGCCUAAGCUUUAAUUUGCUGGAUCCAAAAUUUUUAUGUAGUCAAGCUGGAAAAUAGAUGUUGAUUUGUAGUACAAGGGGAAGCGAAAGACUAUGAAAACUAAUUAAGCUACAGGUGUUGAGUCAGGUCGUAAACAUUUCUUUUAUCGUUGUUAAGUUUAUCUGACUUCAUUUUCUCCCUUGAUUCUCUUUUGUAGGCUGAUGUCCUUGUGUUUUUUGUGAACUUAAGUUAGAGACUUUACUCAAACUAGUUGUUAUCUUCUGGAUUUUUCUUGUCUAUUAAAAUUAUUUUAAUUCCAUGGGCCUAUAUUAACAAGGGAAAAGGAAUCUGUGCCCUUAUGUAACACUGUUCUUGUGUAUGGGUUGUACUUUUAAGGGUCAUACCCUUGUAUGUUGCAGUCUUUAACUCUUUUAUUUAAUCUGAUAAUUAGGUGAAGUUUAUCAAUCCUGUAUUACGGUCACCAAUAGUUGGUGAUGUGGCGUAUGAAACCCUCGUGAAGCUUUCAAAGUGUACUGCUACUCCACUUUGUAACUGGGCUCUUGAGAUUGCAACAGCUUUGAGGUUAAUUAUGUCAGCGGAUGCUAAUGUCUUAUGGGGUCAAAUUCCUUGUGCUGGUGAAGAGGUAUCAAAUGGAAGGCCUGGUCUCUUUGAGUGUGUAACAAACGGUUUAUCCAUCUCCUGCAAAACUGGGUCUCUCCCUGUGGAUUCAUUUACUUUUGUUUUCCCUGUAAGUUUGUGGUCUGAUCAUGUCAACUUUACUUUUCUGGUUUUUCCUUGCCACUGAGACACCGACAUUUUCUGAUAUAUGUAUUUUUUCUUUUUGUUGCAUGCAUAGAUAAUGGAGAGAAUAUUGUUAUCUCCCAAGAAGACCAGACUUCAUGAUGAUGUUCUCAAGAUAAUAUUCUUGCAUUUGGAUUCGUUCUUACCCCUACCUAGAGUUCAAAUGCUCUCAGUUAUGAUCACUACAACUUCUUGUUGUGUAUAGCUUGAUUAUCAUAAAUAUAUAUAUAUAUAUAUAUAUUUCUGACUGUUAUCUUGGUGAUUUUGUAGGUUCUUUAUCAUGUCCUGGGUGUUGUUCCUGCUUAUCAAGCAACUAUUGGACCGGCAUUAAAUGAGUUAUGCCUUGGGGUGAAAUCAGAUGAAGUGGCACCUGUAUGUGAUGUGGUUUUGAAUUUAUUCUGUGCCCUUCUACAUAAUAUUUAUAAUCUCUCUGUUUCUUGGUCUUUGCAGGCUUUAUGUGGUAUUUAUGCUAAAGACAGCCAUGUAAGAAUGGCUUGCUUAAAUGCUGUGAAGUGCCUUCCUGCUCUUGCUAGUCAUUCUGUCCCUCAAAGUAGUGAAAUUGCCACCCGUAUCUGGCUUGCUUUACAUGAUCCUGAAAAGGUAUUACGUUCUUGUAGAAGUUCCUUUUCUAGUGAUAAAUGCUUAACUCUGGAUUUUCAGUUCCCUUGAAUAUUACUCCUUCCUGUUUCAGUUUGUUUGUUUUGUUUUGACUUGACACGGAGUUUAAGAAAGUAAAGAAGACUUUUGAAUCUUGUGGUCUUAAACUAAAACUAUGUAAAAUGUAUCAAAAUGCCCUUUAAUCUCGUGAUCUUAAACAUACCAUGUGGAAAAUUGGAAUUGAAGAGUUGCUAAUAUAGGAAAGACGUUCUUUUUGAAACGGACUAAUAAGAAAAGUAAGACAAACAAAUUGAAAUAGAAGGAUUAAUAAUGAUAUAUUGUUCAAAAGUUACUGGUGCCAAAAAAAAGAUAUAUUGUUCAAAUUUGCAUGAUGACCAGUAAGGGAUCAUGCUUUCAUCAAGUUGAAUGAACCCUGUGCAUAUGUUUAUUGUUGAUCUCUAUUAUUGUUGGACGUUUGUCUAAUAUAUAGGAUGGGCAUGAUAACUGGCAUCAAGUACGGUGUGCUUUCAAAUUUCAAUAGUAUCAAAAAUUCAAGAUUUUCACGUUAGAGAAGAGUUUUAGACUCUUAGUCUAGCUUAACAUUCCACAACAUAAUGAGCUCCAAUGUGGUUGCCUGGAGCAGGGGGCAACUUGAUUUACUGCUUUUCUCUUCUGUUUUUGCUGGAAAGGUGUUUCUAUUCUCCUAGAGAGUUUGAGAUUUUAAUUUAUCAUUUCUUCUUGCGACAUAAACCAUCCCUGGAUGCUUUUUAAAUUGUUUAACAGCUCCCAUAGCAUUUUAUAAGUGGCAUAUACAUUGUCCGAACUUGUAAGUCGAAAGUUCAACAUGAAAAAACAUAAGCUAGCAAAAUAAAUUACUUAGAGGAGAUACGGGUACACUAUAUCAUGCUGUCUAACUAGUGUAAUACAAGUGCAAAACUCACAUGCAUCUAAAUAUUUGGGUUCUGUGAUUCGUAGAAUCGGUCCUACCCAAGAAGCAUCCUGGUAACUAAUUGUAGGAGGGUGCAUAAGUGUGUUAUUUAUUUUGUCCUCUGGUAGGCAUCCUGUGUAGAUCUGGUAUGGUUCUUCCCUUUACCUGUUACUUUGAAGAAAAUGGGCAGUUGUUGCAUGUAUUUGGUGGAGUGUUUGGACUGAAAUAAACAAAUAGUGUUUUGAUGAUUAUAUGAGUUCCACCAACAAGAUAAGAGUCUAUUUGUAUGUUUUUAUUUUGCUUGUGGUGUAGGAUGGAACGCGUAAAUGAAGCUGAAACAGUUCUACAAACAUUCAAAUUCCUACAAAAUUAGACGGGAACAGUUUUGUUGUUUGUUCUUUUACUACAUUGUACAGUCCCAUAACAGAUCCUUGGUAUUAUUAAAUUAAUUAAUUUACCUUUUUAAAUAGAAAUUGGGCAAUUGCCUGACUCUCGAAAUGAUCGUGCCCAGAUAUACAGUUCGGCUUUCCUGUUAGUUGAAAGUGACAAAAAGCAAUGGCUUGAUCUUAGGUAAAUGAAUGUAGGAGCUUAAUAACUUCGGUAUCUGAAUAGUAUGGUCUUAUGAUAUUUGCUGAUUUACUCAAUCGACUAUUUGUUUUGAUUAUGUCAAGUUAGGUUCAUUCAUUUGAAUGUGUAGAUUAAGUGUUGCUGUGAUUCAGUAUGUCUAUUUUAUGUCCAAAAUGUUAUCAUGACAGUAUGAACUCCGUGUAUUCUCUAUUCAGUGUGUUUCUGAAGCUGCUGAAGACAUCUGGGAUCAUUACGGGUAUGACUUAGGAACAGAUUACUCUGGAAUUUUCAAAGCUCUUUCCCAUGUUAAUUAUAAUGUGCGAGUGGCUGGCGCUGAGGCCUUGGCUGCUGCUUUAGAUGAAAGUCCAGAUGCGAUACAGGUUUAUUUGUCUUCUAUGUUCUGUUUUCUGGAAAUUUAUAAAAAAUUAACUGACUAGUGUGGAUUUUUUUUUUUAAUCUUUGUUUUUACGCUUUCAGGAAUGUCUUUCAACUUUAUUUUCCUUGUACAUCCGUGAUGUUGGUUCUGGUGAAGACAGCAUUGAUUUUGGCUGGAUAGGAAGACAAGGAAUAGCAUUGGCUUUACUUUCUGUGGCAGAGGUUCUUAGAGCAAAAGACCUUCCCGUUGUUAUGACAUUCCUAAUUUCAAGGGCACUGGUACUAAGUUCUCUCUCUGAAUGAGGUGUCGUUAAUCAUGUCAAUGUUUUAAUGUAUCAUACUGGUUGAAAUGUAAGAACUGCAUUUUUACUUUUUGUUUGUUCUUUUUCUCUCUCUCAAAGAUUGCUAAUGAUUUCACUAAUAGGUGCACGCAAGUUCUUAUUUACUUUGUCAUGCUGAUUUUGGCAAUGAAUUUCUUCUAAGAGUUUGUCUUCUUGUUGUGAUGCUAAACAUGUGAACUAUCUUACAAUUGAAAGAUCCUUGCUGAGAUACUUUUUAUCUUGGCUUUUAAGGAGUUCCCUCCUUGUAUUAAAAAGCUUUAAAAGCACACAUCGCUUGAUAAGUAGUAGCUGUUUUAUUACGUGUGGUGCUUCACUUGGUUUUGUAAACCAUCAACACAGAACUCAUUUGAAAUACAUUGAAUUUCAUAAGAAAAGGUUUUGCCCUAUUUGGGUUUGAGUAGUGGGGGUUUUGGAAAUGCAGGCAGAUCCUAAUGCAGAUGUUAGAGGAAGAAUGAUCAAUGCCGGCAUAGUUAUUAUUGACAAACAUGGAAGAGAGAAUGUCUCAUUGCUAUUCCCUAUUUUCGAAAACUACUUGAACAAAAAGGUAUGGUAUAUUUGUUUCCUUACAUCAUCUAUGUGUUUUACUCUUUGGAGGUUUUAUACCUUUGGGUUGGGGGUGAGUAAUCGGUGUUUGAGUUUUUCGUGUUGACUCCUGUUGUGCUUUUGUGGCAGUUAAAGCUAGUUAUAGUCUUCGAAUAUAUGACAUAUGUUAAAAUAGCUGACAAUGACCAACUGUUUGUUGAUUGUGCAGGCUUCAGAUGAGGAGAAAUAUGAUCUGGUCCGUGAAGGUGUGGUAAUAUUUACUGGUGCCUUAGCUAAGCAUUUGGCCAAGGUAAUUUAUCUCCCCUCUUAUAAACUUGGUCCGCGGUAAAGACUUCUGAAGAUUCUGGUUCUAAUACCUUGUUUAUUUUGGAACAGGAUGACCCUAAGGUUCACACAGUUGUAGAGAAGUUGCUGGAUGUACUGAAUACUCCUUCUGAAGCUGUUCAGCGAGCUGUCGCUACCUGCCUUUCUCCACUUAUGCAAGCAAAACAGGUUAGUUGUCUUCUAGAAAGCUUCUUACACUAUGUAACAAACAAGAAACAUUGUCACAUGACAUGACUGUAGAUCUUGAACAAUCUGCAGUUACUACACUCCUCGCUAACAGUCAAAAGUGUCUGCUAUUGCUUACUGCCAGGCUACUUUGACUCUUCAUAACGUGCAUGUGUCAGAAGGAUAUGUUUUGAGCCUGGGUACUUUAUCUAGAUCCUACGGAAAAUGUCUUAAACUUGCUAAAAUUUGGAUGUGUCUUACCUAUAAAAACAGGAAACGUGCCUAUACCCAAUCCAUAUCCAUAUGCAUGUCCAUAUAUAACCAUAUUUGAGUCCAUUUAUAAUAGGUUUACUGCAUGGAAUGCUAUAUCGUGUAUCCUAGUGGGUUGUGCAGCUUUACAUUCCUCCUCAGGAAGGGUUUGUACUUUUAGCAAAGCAUGUAAAAAGAACCAAAGUGACAAUUUUCUUAACCCCUGUUAUCAUCCUAAUUUGCAUGAAUCUUGCAGUUACACCUUUCAGUCUACGAUGAGUAAAAUCCAAUAUCAUUAAGCCAUGUGGAAUUUUGUUCCUUUUUCCUUCAGGCCAUUGGUGUUCUGAGGUGGUAAUUGCAGACUUGUUUGGCUAACUACAGACCUAUUCUCAUGUAUUUACCAUGCUAAUCCUGAUAGUUACUUGAGAUAUUUCUGAAGGAAUUCUCGUCUCGCAUAGCUUUUAAGUUUGUUUUGUAAUUCAAAUUUCUCUAGCAUUCUAUUUCCUUCUUGUUCUGUACUGCAUAAAGUCAUGGAAAUAUAAAUGACUUAUGUAUGUCCUAGUUCCAUUUCUAUAAUUUUGACUUUGUUUCUUCCAGAUUUGUUCUUUUUUGAUAUUUUUCUUCCUUAGCCAUCUCUUUCUUUCUCUGUCCCAACAUCUUUUUUGUUAGUUUAUACCUAAUUUGCAAGCUGAAACUGGAUUUUCUUUUUGCCCAUCUCUUCUCUUGCACCAGGAGGAUGCACCAUCUCUGGUUUCUAGGCUUUUGGACCAGCUAAUGAAGAGUGACAAAUAUGGUGAAGGGAUUUGGAAUAUCUUGCCUGAAGAAAUAUGGCAUUGUAGCAGCAUUACAUGAAGGUUUUGCUGACAGGUUAGUCUUCUGGCAUGUGUCAAUCACUCUAAAUUAGAGGUUGAGUUACCCUGUGAUUUAACUCAGUAAUUUUCUGUUCUUUUCGGAGGGUGUGAUGAAAUGUCAUGAAUAACAACCCAGUUGAGGCAUUAUAUUAUGGAAUUAGUCCGAAGAACUCAUUCUUCUAUUUACCUUCAUCUUUAUGUGCUAGAUAUUGUUGAAAUGAAAUUUCAAGGUUAUGAUCGCUUGACGUAUAGGCUUUUAUAUCAAUGAUAAAAUAAAAAGGCAGCCUAGUGCACUAAAGCUCCUGCUUCGCAGGGUCCGGGGAAGGACCCCACCACAUAAAAUGAUGAUUAAUAAAAAUAAUCAGGGCCCCACCACAUAGAAUGAUAAUUAAUAAAGCUAUUCUGUAUGCCUUUGUGGCUCGAUUAUGUGCUUUUGCUUAUGUCUUAAAAAUGUAGAAUUAGAUAAAUGCUUCUUGGCUUAAUUUUUCAGUUAAAUCUUCCAGUUGCACUUGUCCACAACAAGGAAAAAGGGGAAAAGUGACUUUGUUAUCUUUCAGCAUGUCGCCUCUUUUCCUGAUAGUUGCUACUAAAGUUCGAGCUCUGAACUUUAGAGGACCUCUUCAUGAAAUAUCUACAUCGAUUAGCUGUGUUCUGACCAUAGUUAUAUGUUUCUGAUAUGAUCUGGAAGUUUUUCAUGCUGUUACCGAAUUGUAUAUUAGUAUUGAAAAAAAUUGGACCUGAAUAGAGGGUAGUGGAUAAAUAGGAUUCAUACAUCUGAUUCCAGCAAAUGCGGGAUGCAGUUUAUAGAAUUUCAGAGUAUUUCUUGCUUGGCAUUUUAGCUAGCAACAGUUGACAUUCAACAUUGUUUCAUUGAUAUGGUUUUAUCGCGAGGUUGCGAUCUCAUUAUAUUUCAAUAACUGCACCUUUCUACAUAUGUAAGUUUCUCCUUCCUGGAUCUGAAUGAUGUUUAUUUGCAGGAAUUCGGCUAAGAGCCGUGAAGGAGCACUGCUUGCAUUUGAAUGCUUCUGUGAGAAGCUCGGGAAGUUGUUUGAACCGUAUGUCUUAUGUUUAUACUUCUUUUCUGUAGAAAAUGAUACAAAUGAAAUGCUUAUCCUUUUAUGUAAUUUGAACUGGGAUAUGAGAUUAACCAGCUCCGUUUCAUCUGUCUCCCUGUUUUUCCUUCAGGUAUGUAAUUCAAAUGUUUCCGUUCCUCUUGGUUUCUUUCUCUGAUCAAGUGGUUGCGGUGCGUGAUGCUGCUGAAUGCGCUGCUCGGGCAAUGAUGUCUCAGCUUAGUGCUCAAGGAGUGAAACUAAUUCUUCCAUCACUUUUAAAGGUUCUUAAUUUAGCUUUUCCCGGUACCUCAACUCAAUGCAGUUGACUCCAUUCAUACUUUAUUGAUUGAGUGAUGUGGUUAACUGGAUGAUGGAGUAAACUUGCACAAUGUAGUUUACGCACACUUAUAGAGUACUCUUAUGAAGUAGUGUUCAAAAUUCUUUUACGGUGUACGUAUAUCCUAAACGGCUCUUGUAGUUUACUGGGACUCUUAGAUAGGAUUAAUUAUAGCUUUUGAGAAUGUUCUUCUGUGUUCUGAUGAUGAGAAAUUGUUGCACAGCAGUUCAUGUUGGUUAGCCUUGAGGACUGUCUGGUUGCGUAGGAAUAGAGAAGCUGUAACCUUAAUGAACGCUUGCUCUUUGUUUUUUGAAGAACAAGUGUAACAUUUCAUGAAUGCUUAUACUGUGGAUUUUUAUCAACUUUUGGCAUCUGUUUAUCUCAUCUGAAAUGACACAAUUGGAUCUUCAGUUUUGUUGAAAUAACCUAUAUGGGUCUAAAAUGAACAGAAAAACUUUGAUAUUCUGCUGUAGUUGAUGAGUCUGCUAUUAAAUAUCUUCCCAUGUUUUAUUACUUAUCCUUCAUUACAUGAGACCUAUGUUUACAAUUACUUUUCUGCAUCAGGGCCUUGAAGAUAAGGCUUGGAGAACCAAACAGAGUAGUGUACAACUUCUUGGUGCCAUGGCGUACUGUGCUCCGCAGCAAUUGUCGCAGUGUCUCCCUAAGAUUGUACCCAAGUUAACUGAGGUUUGUCCUAUUGCAUGCAAGCUCAGUGCUGCUGUCUCUGCCUAGUGGCUAGUGCCAUACUAGUCUCAGUUUCUUACCGCUUUGUAAUACUGUACAGGUGCUUACUGACACUCAUCCUAAGGUUCAAUCAGCUGGACAGACGGCCCUUCAACAGGUUAAACUAUCUCAUGAUAAAGUUUCUCUUACUUUCCCUGUUCUACUUCUUGCCAUUUAUUGUUUAUUUUGUCUUAUGUUGAGUAUAGGUCGGGAGUGUAAUAAAGAACCCUGAGAUAUCUGCACUUGUCCCUACUCUUCUAAUGGGUCUUACAGAUCCUAAUGAGCAUACAAAAUACUCCCUUGAUAUUCUCCUCCAGGUAAAUAUGUUUACUGAUAACGUGUUAUCUGGUUUCCAUGUCCCACUUUUUGACAGGUACUCUGGUUUCCAUGUACUUCCUGAUAAGCUAAUUCCUUUUUCCAAUUCUUUCAGACAACUUUUGUGAAUUCAAUUGAUGCUCCUUCUCUCGCGCUGCUAGUACCGAUUGUACACCGAGGGCUUCGUGAAAGGAGUGCUGAGACUAAGAAGAAAGCUGCACAAAUUGCUGGAAAUAUGUGUUCAUUAGUGACAGAGCCGAAGGACAUGAUACCCUACAUAGGACUACUGCUCCCUGAAGUUAAAAAGGUACAUCUGAAAAUAAUUGUAGUAACAGAUUAUGAUGAGUGCCAAAGUUUACUCAAUGCUAUUUUCAUACGAUUUCAGGUACUUGUGGAUCCAAUACCUGAAGUUCGAUCAGUUGCUGCCAGAGCUAUUGGUUCUCUUAUACGAGGGAUGGGAGAAGAAAAUUUCCCUGACCUGGUGCCUUGGUUGUUGGAUACUUUGAAGUCUGAUGGAAGCAAUGUUGAGCGUUCUGGGGCUGCACAGGGACUAAGUGAGGUAUAAUUAUCUCAUCCGCUCUCUCUCUCUCUCUCUCUCUCUCUUGUUAUAAGGAGUUGAAAACCUCCAUUUUGGGGGGGGGGGGGGGGGGUUAGAAUUUUUUUUAAAAAAAAAAUUUUUGAGUAAUUUUGAAAAAAAUAUAUUUUGGAUAUCAUUCUAAGUUAGCAUUUGCAUGGUCUCUUACCUGUGGUCUUUUGUCAAGAGGUAAAUAUAAUAGAUCUUUUUUGGACUUUAAUGGGGUUCUUUUAAUAUUGUUACCGAGAUUAAAGUUUUUUGAUGUAUGCACACUUUGCUUGUUCUCUUGCAUUGGUUUAGCGGGGUGGUUUUAAAAUAAUUUUUUGACAUUAUUUGAAUAAACGAAUUGAAAUGGCUUUAAAGGAGUUCUUUCAAUAUUGUCACUACGAUUAAUGUUUUAUGCUGUAUGCACACUUUGCUUUUCCUCUUGCAUUAGUUUAGCAGGGUGGUUGACUUUAGAAUAAGUUCUUGACAUUGUUUGCACAAACAAAUUGAAAUGGAUUUUGAGCAUCUUUAUCUUAUUGGCUCUGCUCUCUCUUUUAAACUUGGCUGUUGUGGUGUGAGGACCAAGAAACACUAAUUAACAAGCUGGAAAAGACUGUACCUUUUGGUGCAUCAUCAAGGAGUAUUGGGGCUGGUGGUAGGUGGGUGGGUCUGGAACUAGUAAUAAAGAAUGGAGACUCUCCUUUUGAGCUGCGUAGGGUUCUUGUUUUCAAUUUCAACCUACAAGUGUAUUUUCCACCUUCCCAGGUAUUGGCUGCAUUAGGAGUGGAGUACUUUGAGAACAUACUUCCUGAUAUAAUACGAAAUUGUUCUCAUCAAAAGGCAUCUGUUCGUGAUGGGCACUUGGCACUCUUUAGGGUAAGCAGUUGAUUAUUAUUAUUUCUUUUUUUUUGAAGUUUUUCAGAAAGAUAGAGAACUUCACUUCUAUAUAUUUUCUCAUAUGAAUUGUUUUGUCUGCUUGUAGUAUCUGCCAAGAUCCUUAGGCGUCCAAUUCCAGAACUAUUUGCAACAAGUUCUGCCAGCUAUCUUAGAUGGUAAAUUGCUCCCUCUUUCUCUCACCCACCCCCACACCCAGAGGCGCGAACAUUCUCACAUAGAUAAACAAAUCUAGCAUUUGUUCUUUCUAAAUGGCAGAAAUUGUUGCAGUAUUAUGGGUGGGUGUCUUUUAUAUUUACUUGCAUAGAGAGGUUCCUUGAAUUAACAAUGUAUUCUACAAUAGGUUUGGCCGAUGAGAAUGAAUCUGUGCGUGAAGCAGCACUCAGUGCUGGCCAUGUUCUGGUGGAACACUAUGCAACUACGUAUGCCUUCUUUGUCAUCUUCCACAUCUAGUUUUAAGCUAGUCUCUUGCUCUCUUAAGUUUGCUUUGGGGUUCCCGUCAAUGGCUGUGAAUUUAGUGCUAUGAUAUUUAAUUUAUUUAGAUAUACACAAUGGAAGAGGCUACCCUGGAGUGAAUGAUAACGCUGUUAUGAUUAUUGUUCAUAUGAUAAUUGAACUGCUGACCUUUUUUUACUCUAUGAUCUUCUUUGGUUCCAGAUCUUUGCCCCUGCUUCUUCCAGCUGUGGAAGAAGGUAUUUUCAAUGAUAACUGGCGUAUCAGGCAGAGUUCUGUAGAGUUGCUGGGUGACCUUCUGUUCAAGGUAUGUUUCGCACGUCAGCAUCAUACUGUAGGAAGCAGGUUUGUUAAUGUAUUAUUUUCUUCUAGGUUGCUGGAACAUCUGGAAAAGCACAUCUUGAGGGUGGUAGUGAUGAUGAGGGUGCCAGUACUGAGGCUCAAGGACGAGCUAUUAUUGAGGUACUCGGUAGGGACAAGCGCAAUGAAAUCCUUGCCGCAUUGUAUAUGGUCCGAACUGAUGUCAGCAUAACCGUCCGCCAGGUAGUGUUUAUUUCAAAAACUAUUGGAUGCUUCAAUCUUGGUGUUCGACUUGUUUGGAGAUGCUGUAUAGUAAUGAAUAAACUUUAAUUACUUUGUAUUUUCUUUUUUCAGGCUGCUUUGCAUGUUUGGAAGACCAUUGUUGCAAAUACUCCGAAAACGUUGAAGGAGAUAAUGCCUGUCCUGAUGAGCACAUUGAUAAGUUCUCUAGCAUCUUCAUCCUCUGAAAGGAGACAGGUAUGCUGUUACCCUUGUUUAUGGUAAUCACAUAUGUGUUAAGUAGUUCUGAAGAUAAGAAUUCUGUGGCCUGAAAUUUGCAGGUUGCUGGACGAGCAUUGGGUGAGCUUGUUAGGAAGCUUGGAGAAAGAGUCCUUCCCUUGAUUAUCCCAAUAUUGUCAAGGGGUCUAAAAGAUUCUAAUCCAAGUAGAAGACAAGUGAGUACUUCUGUAUGCUUCUAGGUGUUUUUUGUAAUUUCUCUGACUGCUUACUUCUUCCAACUGAUCAAGUUUAACUGGACACUUAUGUUUUUGUUGGUGUAAUGAACUGAAGAUGAACUUGUAAAUGAUGUAAAAUAACUACUUAGCUACAUAAUUAGGAGAGGAUUCUUUCUUUGGUUUUUGCUCACUUGUACAUAUUUCAGCACCCUCUAUAGUGAUGCGACUGUAAUAUAAUUCCUAAAAUCAAUACUUAGCUGCACGAUUAGGAGAGGAUUCUUUCUUUGGUUUUUGCUCACUUGUACAUAUUUCAGCAACGAUAAUAUAGUUCCAACUUUAUCGAUGACCCAGAAGGGACAGUUUUUUUUUUUUAUAUUUAUGAAAAAAUUAUCUUGAACUUUUAAAUGAGACAGUUGAUACAAUACAAUAUGAUAUUGGAAUUGGAAAAAUGUCCUGCAUUCGAGUCUCAUCGUCACCAACAUAAAGUACUUCCAUGUGCUUGACCCAAUAAAAAUAAGAUUAAGCCCACACGCGGGGAAUUGUGCAAACCUAAAUUAAGUAAAUAUGUUGUCUAAAAAACCUCACUUUUUUGAAUGGGCGGUUCAUACGUUUAAUUAAUUCCCAAAUUUGUUGCGUGAUUUCUUUAGUAAUAUGGUAGUGAAACAAUAUAGUUGCGAUUUCAUGGUGACUAGAGCAUAUAUCAUUCUGUCUUUGAUGAGGUGAAUAACUAGUCUUACUUAUACUGUUCCUUCGAAAGGUGCAAAAAUUGGUCUGCAACUACAUAAAAGUUUCAUCCUUUUGCCUUCAUUUGACAUCGACUUAUCUUCGCACUCACAAUCACAAUGUGCCAACAAGAUGUAGUUUGUUUCCACUUCUCAUUUCUCUUUUCUGCCGACCUUUAAUGCUCUUAAAUUUCAGGGUGUCUGCAUUGGUCUAAGUGAAGUAAUGGCCAGUGCUGGCAGGAGUCAAUUGUUGAUUUAUAUGGAUGAGCUUAUCCCCACAAUUCGGACAGCACUUUGUGAUAGGUGUGGUAUCUUACUAUCUUUUGCUUAUGUUGGAGUCCCACAUCGGUGGGUUAAAUGGUCCUUGAUCUCCUUAUAUGGUCGUGGGCAAUCCUCCCCUCAUGAGUUAGCUUUUGAGGUUGAGUUAGGCCCAAGAUCCAUUCUUUACACCUUAUAUUACUAUGAAAAUAGCAGUUUCUUGCAUUUCCAUUCCAAAGUAAUUCUUUGUUUCUUUAUUCAACAGUAUUGCUGAGGUUCGUGAAUCAGCAGGCUUGGCUUUUAGUACUCUUUACAAGGUAAACCUUGUAGAUCCAGCCAAUCUUUGAGAUAUUUUACUGAGAACUUCUCAGCACAAAUCUUCACAUUUGGUGGUUUGUAACAUAGAAUGCUGGAAUGCAAGCAAUAGAUGAGAUUGUCCCAACACUUCUUCAUGCACUAGAGGAUGAAGAGACCUCAGAUACUGCUCUGGAUGGCUUAAAACAAAUUCUGAGGUAAGCUAUUGUAUGUCUGGCUUAGACAUGUUUCUAUGUAUGAUCCUAUCUUUAUGUCCUAGUCUUUGUUGUCACUUAUUUCAGUGUCAGGACCACAGCUGUGCUGCCACACAUUCUCCCAAAGCUCGUUCAUUUUCCGCUUUCGUACGUAUAUAUGCUUUCUUCUCCCAAUAGAUUUUCUGUACCUUGUGGUUCUGCAAUACUCACGAAAAUGUCUCUGCACACCUACAGUGCCUUCAAUGCACAUGCUUUGGGAGCUUUAGCGGAAGUUGCAGGACCUGGUCUUGAUUCCCACCUUAGUACUAUCCUUCCUGCUUUACUGAAUGCAAUGGGUUAUGCUGACAUGGUAUGCCUCCUCUCUGACUUGUGCAUUCAUUUAUGUGGUUUUCGCAUUCAGUUUGUCAUAUUCAAUGGCUUAAUAUACAGGAAGUUCAAAGUUUAGCAAAGAAGGCAGCAGAAACUGUUGUGUCAGUUAUUGACGAGGAAGGCAUGGAGUCUUUGUUGUCAGAACUACUGAAAGGAGUUGGGGAUAGUCAGGCAUACUCUUAUCUUUCCUUCUCUUGUUUUUGUAACUCGUUUAUUGCUAUUCUUUUCUCUCAUGCUGCUUUGUACUUGUAAUUCCAGGCUUCAAUUAGACGAAGUUCCGCGUAUCUUAUUGGAUACCUGUUCAAAAAUAGCGACUUACAUCUUGGUGAUGAAGCUCCAAACAUGUUAUCCAGCCUCAUUAUAUUGCUUAGUGAUUGGGAUUUUGAUACUGUGUUGGUAAUGUCAGGGUCACUUCAUUUCUUUUGAAUUGUUAAUUUGUUGGUAUCUUACCACUUGUUUGACAGGUUGCAUGGCAAGCUCUGUCUAAUGUUGUUAGUUCAGUUCCUAAAGAGGUUCUUCCAACAUAUAUCAAGUUGGUUCGUGAUGCUGUAUCUACAUCAAGAGACAAGGAACGUAGAAAGAAAAAGGUAGCAGUUUUCUGUAUUUCAUACUUCUCCGAUUUAUGUUUAAAAAAAUGCAAAUCAUAUUGUUGUCAGUUGUUUGGGGAGCCUAUAUGUUUCGAUUUUGACGUUCUUCUUAAUGAACACAUAGGGAGGAGCAGUUCUUAUACCUGGAUUUUGUCUUCCGAAAGCUCUUCAGCCAUUGCUUCCUGUUUUUCUCCAGGUAUGCUGGCAUCUUCUUCUAUAAUUAUAAUAAUAAUAAUAAUAAUUAUAAUCAUCAUCAUCAUCAUCAUGCUUUAGUCGAAAUAUCGAACCAAAAACACUAAUCGAAAUAUAAGGGAAUGUCAAAUAGCUUAAUAGUAUGGAAAUCUUUUACCCAACAAAGGGAAUAUCGAACCAAAAACACUAAUCGAAAUAUGAGGGAAUGUCAAAUAGCUUAAUAGUAUGGAAAUCUUUUACCCAAACAAAAAGGGCCUGUCAGAGAUUUAAUAUGCUUAGGUCAAACCCAUAUGUUUGGAAGUUCUAAUUGUGCAAAAAGUUGCCCUUUGUGUGUAUCAAAUUUACGGGCUAAAGAGGCACAACUUACUAGACGGAGUCACUGAGACCAGGCCAACCUAAGACAUAUUAAACUCGACUGUACUACCAUUUUGGAACCAAGUUAGAAGCUAUUUAAAAUUUUCUCAUAUUUUGGAUCCAAGUUAGAAGCUAAUAAUAGGACUUAAAUUUUCUUAGUCGGACAUGGUCACGGCUGGCAUGAAGUAGUAUAAAAAGUAAGUUAAAAGAAGAAAAACUAUGUACCUUGAAGCUGGCCGGAUGGAAAGCCUGAACAGUAUAUUGAUCUUGCCUGAACGGUGGCGAUCUGCCUUUUAUUUAUCUUCACAGUAUAUUACAAAGUAGAGAGAGAGCUAGGCUUAGAGAGAGAAGGGAAGGAAAAGGAAAACUUCUGCCUCCUUAUACAAAAUGAGGCGCCUUUUAUAGAAAAAAAAGGAAUCUGCGCAUAGUACUAUGGAGGCAGAAACAUCUCCUCCUACCAUGGAGGCAGAAACAUCUCCUCAUCUUCCUACACUUCUUCCUCUUCUAAUUUCCCCGUAUUACAACAGGGAUAUAGAAGUUUGAUUAAUGCAAAAAUUUUGCAAAUUGCUGAAUCAUCAUCCAAAAACCAGCAUAUGAGCACUUCAAUUCAUUUAGAAGAUAUUUCAGAAGAUCACCCUUUAUAUGAACUUCACUCCUAUAUGUUUGCUAAGCAAACAAAUUCGUUUGCCUCAAUUGUUCAAGAAGAUAGGCCAAAUUAUGAAAAGCUUGACACUAGAGAACAAAUAGUUUUUAUCGAAAAUGCUCAAGAAGAUCCAUGGAGACUACUCCAAAAAUACUUGAUCACUAACCUUUUUACAUUGCAGGUGAAUCUUAUAAAACAAGAGCUUUUUAUGAGUCAAUCCUACUUUCUACUGGAAAUAAUGAAAUUGAACACUAUCAAAUGAGCGAAACAACCCCAGGAGUGCAUGGAUAUUCCAAAAUGGUCGUCAAAAAACUCAUAUCAAUUGAAGACUGGGGAACCACGUCCAUGACUGAAAAAAUCAUGACAAUGAAAGGAGCGAAAAUAGCUUUCACUUAUUGGGACUACUUAAAAGCAUUUACCCAAACUUUAUAUUAUAAUAACAUAAACAUACUCUGUUUUUAAAAGUCUGUGCUAAAAUAUUUGAAGAUCCCAUUCCAAAUUGGUUGAUCAAAUGAUGGUUGUAUCAUGGCCCCAUAGUUAAGAUCUUGCCACUAGAAUAUUUUCAUCUUUACAAAGAAUGGAAAAAGACUUCACCAUUUUUAACAGAAUUAUACCUUUCUUAACAUGUCUCCAAAUUGGAUACCAUUGAUCAAAUGUACUUUUUCGUAGAAUUUUCCAUUUCCUGGAUCCAUAAAUGGAGUAUUGAAUUCGGGUAUACUAAAGAUCAACUACCAGGCUUAUAUAGGGUAUUUUAUACCAACUUUUGGGAAAAAUUAAACCGCUAGGAUUCGGUUACAAAAAUCCCUUAUGGAAAAGACUUACAAGAAACCAUUAUAAGAAAAAACACCGAAUAUGCUCAUCCUCCACAGAAAGAAAUUAUUGACGACAAAGGACUAAACUAUAUUUCUAGAAGAAUCUCCAUUCAAGAAGGAGAUAAACUAGAAAUGUUUGAAAAAUACUUAGCAGAAGUUCGAAAUAAGCUACUAAAAAACGAUAGAACAAAGUUCAGAUACUUCUAUGAAAAGCAUUACCAGUGAAGAAGCAGAAAACACUGAAGAUAUUUGUGAUUCACAGUCACUACCUCACAUAUCCUCACAAAUGAAGAGAUCAAAAAAACCGAAGCAUUUCUCUAUCAACUGAAGAAAAAGGGAAAAGACAAAAAGGACAAACAGGCCCCCAGCAACUAAUUAUUAUGUUUUACUAUAAGGCCCAUUUGUAACAGCAAAAAUACUAUGUGCAAGGGACCCAUAGUACUAUGCACAAAUUUUUUUUUUCUAUAAAAGACGCCUCAUUCUGUAUAAGGAGGCAGAAGUUUUCUUUUUCUUCCCCUUCUCUCUCUAAGCCUAGCUCUCUCUCUACUUUGUAAUAUACUGUGAAGAUAAAUAAAAGAAUAAAAGACAGAUAACCACCGUUUAAUACCGUUCAGGCUUUCCAUCCAGCCAGCUUCAAGGUACAUAGUUUUUCUUCUUUUAACUUACUUUUUAUACUACUUCCUGCCAGCCGUGACCAUGUCCGGCUAAGAAAAUUCUCAUGUCUACAUUAAAAAUUUAACUCCUAUUAUUAGAUAAUUAUGAAGAAUCCAGACUUUAUCCUAAAUAUGAGAAAAUGUUAAAUAGCUUCUAAAUUGGUUUCAAAAUGGUGGUACAGUUGAGUUUAAUAUGUCUUAGGCUGGCUUGGUCUCAGUGACUCCGUCUAGUAAGUUGUGCCUUUUUAGCCCGUAAAUUUGAUACACACAAGCGACUUUUUGCAGAAUUAGAACUUCUAGACAUAUGGGUUCGACCUAAGCAUAUUAAAUCUCUGACAGACCCUUUGUUUGGGUAAAAGAUUUUCAUACAGUUAUUAAGCUAUUUGACAUUCACUUAUAUUUCGAUUGGUGUUUUUGGAUCGAUAUUUCCACUAAAGCUUAAGCUGAUAUUCUUAUGAUAAGUCUGAACGCAGCGUGGCUUACCCCUGCUUGAGAUCAGACCAUUUUGGAAUAUCCUUGCACUCCUGGGGUUGUUUCGCUCAUUUGAUAGUGUUCAAUUUCACUACUUCCAGUAGAAAGUAGGAUUCACUCAUAAAAAGCUCUUGUUUUAUAAGAUUCACCUGCAAUAUAAAGGUUCGUGAUCAAGUAUUUUUGGAGUAGUCUAUUUGAAUAUUUUCGAUCAAGUAUUAUUAUAAAGGUUAGUUCUCUAGUGUCAAGCUUUUCAUAAUUUGACCUAUCGGCAGUAUUUUCUCGAACAAUAAUAAUAAUAAUAAUUCUUUUUAAUAAGGCAUUCCAACUUAUUUCUUUGUAAAUUCACUAUAGAUAUCGUGUUUUUCUUUUAGUGGAUGAUUUUGGGGGGCUGAGGUUAGUUGAAUAAUGUUAGAGGAAAAAGCUACUGAAAGUGCAUUAGAAUAUGAGUCUUCAAGUUCCAACACAAUUAUAUGUUUUAUGUAUGCUUUGGUGGUAGGGACAAGGCAGUUUAUUAAACUGAAUUUCAGAGUUGAUUAUAUUUUUCGUUUUUCUUUAAAAAAGAAUCAUUGCCGUGCAUGUGCGAUAGGACCAUUCUGCUGGAAAAGUUACAUAUGUUUGGUUACUUUUGAGGUGUGGUUAUGUCUAUAAAUUUCAAACUUUGUUGCGUGAUAAGAAAAUGCCUCAUAAACUCAAAGGCAAGUGCUACAGAGUGGUGGUUAGACUAGCUUUGUUGCAUGGAGCGGAGUGUUGGCCAAUCAACAACUCUCACAUCCAAAAGAUGAUGGUGGUGGAGAUGAGAAUGCUACGAUAAAUGUGUGCGUGUGCUAGAAAAGAUAAGAGGUUAUUUGAGAUAAGGUAGGAGUGACUUCGGUGGAGGUGAAGAUUCGAAAAACAAGCUUGAGAUGGUUCAGACAUGUGAUGAGGAGGUGUACGGAUGUCCCGAUCCGGAGGUGUGAGAGGUUGGCCAGGGAUGGAUUUAGCGAGGUAAAGGUAGAUCGAAGAAAUAUUAGAGGGAGGUGAUUAGACGUGACAUGGAGCAGCUCCGCUUAUCGAGGACAUGACCCUAGAUAGGAAGGUGUGGAGGAGGCGAAUUAAGAUAGAAGGAUAGCAGGAAAGGGUGUGUCAUUGCUAGUAGGUAGGAGGACUUUGUUUUGUUGUUCGUGCUAGUAGCUUUAGUACUAGUAUUGUUUCAGAGUGUGUUAUCGUUUGUCGUAUUACUUGGUGAGUUUUGUUUAUGCUAUUAUCAGUGGAUGUGGUAGUUCCUAUUGUUUGUUGUUUCUUUACUAUAUUUUUUCUAGACUGUUUUGUCUUGAGCAGGGGGUAUGUCGAAACAACCUCUCUGUGUCUCACCUCUGAGGUAGUGUUAUGGACUGCGUACAAUUACCCUCCCUAGAUCCCUCGUGGUGGGAAUAUACUAGGUAUGUUGUUAUUGUUGUUUGAUACACCAGAAUUGUUCUUUGUACGUUGGACUGUGCUUUGUCUGAUCUGAUUAUAUUUCAGUUCUUGUUACAUACUCAAUGAACUUUUCUUUUGGUCAUGUCACCUUUUUUUGGUAUUUCAUGGAAUCAGCCUUUUUCUUACUAGAAAUCCCACUAGUGAGGUCCAGGAAGGGUAAAGUGUCUGCAGACCUUACUACUACCUCGUGGAGGUAGAGAUGUUGUUUUCAAAAGGCUUUCGGCUCAAGUGCAACAAAUCAAGGAAACAGUGAAAAGUCUACCUGAAGGAAACUAAAACAACAAAGUAGUGCGAUAACUAGUACACAAUAAACUAUAUACUAUGAUAGAGUAUCAAAAACAAUAAUACACAAUGAUAAAUAUCAAAAACAAAAAUUACAAUAAUACAACUAGUAUAAUGACAAAUGCCAACCAACCUAAGUAAGACGACACUCCAUUACCUUUUAACUUUCUACCCUAAUACGCGUCCUCCGCAUCCUCCUAUCUAAGGCUAUCUCUAACAUGAAACUGCGCCAUAUCCUGUCUAAUCACCUCUCCCAAAUACUUCUCUACCUCUUCUCGUACCCUUUAUAACCAACCUCUUGCACAACCUCGUUGGUGCGUUUACACAUCUCCUCUUCACAUGUUCAAACGAUCUCAGUCUCGCUUUCCUCAUCUUGUCCACCAUGGAGGCCACUCCACCUUUUCCCGAAUAUCCGCAUUUCUAAUUUUAUCGCUCCUGUUAUUACCACACAUCCACCUUUUUUUCCUUUUUGGUUUAAUCACGAAGAGCGAUAAGAAAGACAACAUGGAGAUGCAACAAAAACAUAUUCCAAAUCUUUGAGGUUGCUUUAUUAGUUUUCGACAUGAUGCUUAAUUUUCAUUGCUAGAGUAUGAUGGAUAUGUAAGUUGCUCGAACUUGGAAGAGAGAUAAGAGCGAGAACUUGGAAGAGAGAUAAGAGCGACAACAUGGAGAUGGAACAAAAACAUAUUCCAAAGCUUUGAGGUUGGUUUAUCAGUUUUCAACAUGAUGCUUAAUUUUCAUUGCUAGAGUAUGAUGGAUAUCUAAGUUGCUCGAACUCGGGUGCAGUUGUCCGAUACGGGUGUGGAUCUAGGGGUCCGAUCCUUCAUGUACUCAAUUUUAAGGUUUUGGGAUUUGGAUCCAGGUAUGGAUAUGGGUGUAGGAAUUCGACUAAAAAUAAUUCAAAUAUCUAAAAAUAGAGUUAUAAAACCUAAAUUAUGAGAUAAUAUGUGGAAAACUUGAGCAGAAAGUAUUGAUCAAGAGGAGAAUCGUGAGAGGAGAUAAAAGAAAAAUCAAUAACAUAAAAAAAUUCUAUAUACGGUAUUCCAUUUUUUUCAAUUUUACCUUAGCUUUUGUUCUGAUUAUAGAAAUCUGUAAAUCUGUCCGAACUUUCUGCCCAUUUUGGUCAAUGUACCAAAAAUCGGUUGAUUAAAUCGGUUACGGAUCCCACAGCGACACCCAUGUCGUAUCGACAUGGGUGCUGCACCGAAAGUGAAGAGUCCGAGUAACUUAGAUGGAUAUUCCGCUAUAUCAUGCAUGAGGCCAAUGCUAUCAAGGAUCUUGUGCUUAAACAAUGAAGCAAGAUGCAGUACAGGCAGGGGUAUCUCUGCGCUAGAAUGUAGACACAGGGCAGUCGGGUGUGACCAGUGGCGUGCAUGAGCUGUAUUCAAGAGACUUGACUUUAAAUACUCCCUCCGUUUCAAAAAGAAUGACCCCUUUCAUUUUUUGACAAUACUUUAAUUUCAACUUUCCACAUGACAUGUUUAGGACCACAAGAUUAAAGGGCAUUUUGGUACAUUUGUCACAACUUUAAUUUAAGGCCAUUUAUUUUCUUAAACAUUGUGCCAAGUCAAAGUAGGUCAUUUUUUUUUUGAAAUGGAGGGAGUAAUUAAUAUGGAGGAUAAAACAUUAUAUAUAGUAUUAAGGAAAUGUUAUAAAUGAAUAUUUAUUAAAGCAGAAGUCUUAAAACUGAUCACACAUCUGAACUAGAAGUUCUAAAACUGCAUUUUUCACUUCAUUGAGAAAUUAAAGUUGCACUUGCAUGAUAAUGUUCAUACAUUAUGUAUUUCACUCAAAUGUGGUUCUUAGUCCUUUCUGCAUAUAAUUAUUUGUCUGAGGAAUAUUUUUUUUUGUAUUACAUACACAUACAUACACGUGUGGUAUUUUUAUGCUUUAAUUGAAUUUGAAGGCCUAGGAAAUGAUCAUGUUUUCCUUGUUACUUUUGGCGAUGCUGCAUGGCACUCGUCCAAAUUUCUGACCUUGUCAUUGCUGUCGGGUUUACAAUGCAAAUGUACAUGUCUCAGCUAGAAAUAAAAUGUUGAACUGUGAUUUUUGCCAAGAGGAAUUAUAGGCAAAUUUCUUAAAUUUACUGAAAUAUUAGCAAUCUAAUCUUAUCCAAACAAUCACUGAAAUGUUAAGAUUGAACCCUCUAAAAGAAGAUAAAUAAUAGAGCAAACGUAAGUAUUAAAUCACAACAUAAACUAUGUUCAGUUACCUGAUUUUUUUCUUUAAGAAAUGUCAAUCACCUCUGUUCACUUGUCAUCAUUUCCCUUGUCCCAUCACCUGUUAUUUGGUUCUUUAAUGUACUACUUUUAAUAGCAUUGAUUUCUGUACCGGAGUUUAACAUUUUUCAAAAUAAAUUUCUUAUUCCAUUUGAAUCCAUUUAACCUAUCCAAUAGUCUAUAUUCUGAUGGAUGUUAAAGUAAGUAAGAUGCUUUAAGAACUAACUCUACUAUAAAUGUUAAUGGUUUGCAAGUAUAUUUGUACUUUACUAGCAAGUCAAGUCCAUAAUUUCAAGCAGUUGAUAUUGAUUACAGGGUACUGUGUCAAGUUUUAAAUUCAAAGUGGUUUUCCAAGUUUCUGGAUUAUCCAAUCAAACAAUUGGUAGCCAUCAAUUAGAAGUUUUACGAGCAAAUUGAAUAAAUAAUACUCUCGUUGUCCCAAUUUAUAUGACUAUUUCCUUUUUUAAUCCGUCCCAAAAGGAAUGGCCCAUUUCUAUAUUUAGUAACAAUUUUACUUUAAUAUGUCGAUUUUAUCCUUAAUGAGAUGAUUUACAACCACACAAACAUGUUAGACUUAUUUUAGAUGACAAAUUUCAAGUAUUUUCUUUCUUAAACUCCGUGCCAAAGCAAACUAAAUAGUAAUAUCCAUUUUAAUCUUUGGAAAGAAAAUAAUACUUGAUGAAGAUAAAAGAAAAUUUUACCCGAGUGUUGAACAUGAUGAUACCAAAGAAAGAAGAGAGAAUGACUAAAUUAGAGAGUAACCUGAUUUUUUUUUUGGCAACACUCUUUUAUCCUAGUUCCUUCUUCUCCAAAACCGACCUUCCCUAGCGGUUUCUCGUUGUAUUUAUCUAUACAUUUCUUCGUAGUGGAGUAAUUGAAAAACUUUCCCAGCAGAGUGGCGCGAGGCAUUAAAACUAAAGUGGAGGCACCAAUGAUUUCUCUAUCCAAUGAUUUUCUUUUGAACUUACAGGGUCUCAUAAGUGGAUCGGCAGAACUAAGGCAGCAAGCAGCUUUAGGUCUUGGUGAGUUAAUUGAAGUGACAAGCGAGAAGACACUAAAGGAGUUUGUGAUUCCUAUCACAGGGUAUGCACCAUGGUGUACUGGCACAACUUUUGUACCAGCAUGAAGAAUUUCAUAUAGGAAGAUAUUAAGAUGAUUAUGUUUUAUCUUUUCUAGAUUUUAUAGUCUCAUUCUCUCUCAGUUUAUGCUUAACUUUUUCACAAUAUGCUUUCAAUUGCAGACCCUUGAUUCGUAUUAUAGGUGACAGAUUUCCUUGGGAAGUGAAGAGCGCAAUUCUAUCGACACUGAGCAUCAUAAUUCGAAGGGGUGGAAUAGCCCUAAAGCCCUUUCUUCCCCAGCUUCAAACAACAUUUGUCAAGUGCCUACAGGAUAACACAAGGUUAGUUAUUUAGGGGUUUACCUUUUUUUGGCUGGUAGAUGGGGAAAUGAUGUGUUGUAAACAUAAUGCUCUUCUGCCCUGUUUUCUCAUUCUUCCCAUGACAUCUGUUUCUUUGUGAAGCGAUAGCUUCAGUGCUUUGUGAUCUUUAUUCCUUGGUCUUAUGUAAGUAUUAUUAUAGGACAAUACGAUCGAGUGCUGCUAUAGCGCUUGGGAAGCUUAGUGCUCUCAGUACCAGAGUUGAUCCUUUAGUUGGUGAUCUAUUAUCUGGUGUGCAGGUGAUAGUUUUACUUUAUUCUACUUCUCUGCUGUCAUGAUUUAUCUCUUUCUAGGAAGCAGUGUUUAUUCCAUUAAGUUAAUGGUCAACAGACAUCAGAUGCUGGAAUUCGUGAGGCUACUCUAACUGCUUUGAAAGGUGUGAUUAAGCAUGCUGGUGAAAGUGUCAGCAUUGCUUCUAGAACACGUGUCUAUAUCCUACUGAAGGAUUUAAUACACAAUGAUGAUGAUCAAAUAAGAAAUUCUGCUGCAAGCAUACUGGGAAUUGUUUCACAGGUUUGGAUCAUUCUACCAGGAAAUAUUUCUUUUCCUUUAUAUCAGAUUUUGCAUCCUGCAUUUUGCAAGGUUUCAUUUAUUUACUGAGGUGCUUGGUAAAGGUUAUUUGGUAAUUUAUUUGAUGGGGAGUUUUGUUCAAAAUAGGGCAGGUUGUAAAUGAAGGGGAGCCUUGGAGUAAUUAGGGACAAGGAGGUCACGGGUUCAAGCCUUGGAAACAGCCUUUGGUGGAAAUGCAAGGUAAGGCUGCGUAUAAUACACCCUUGUGGUGGGGCCCUUCCCCGGACCCUGCGCUUAGUGGGAACUAUAGUGCACCAGGCUGCCCUUCUUUAGGGAAGGUUGUAGAUCAUGAAGUCGUCACUUUUUUCGCUCUAGCACAGGCAGUGUUAUCAAAGGCGCGCUUAAGCCCUAAAGCGAGUCUCAAAAUGUGUUGAGCGCUCCGCCUCCCUUAAUCUGCACUUCAGUGUCGUCAUCGAUGUUCUAAGGCAUGCUUCUCCUCACGAAUGUGCCUCUUCCAAAGAGGCGACACUAAAAAAUAGACAUUUUACUUUAUCGUAAUUUUGUUUCAACUUCUUUGUUCAUAUAUUUGUCAUUCAUGCUUAUAAUUAGUAAUUAUUAAUCUUGGAUUAAACAUGUAUAUUUGUAUUUUUAUCUUUCAAACGACUCUUCAGUAACCCAGGGUGAUCCUACCCUUUCGACGCUUUUUUCGCUGUAUACCCCUUUUUUCAGUUAAAGUUCAUGCUUUAUUCACGUUUUGCACUUAAAGCCCCGUGGACCUUAGAGCUAUUUUGUGCUUUUGCUUUCGUUAACACUUAGCGCUGGGUGUUUGAUUUUUAAUUGGCCUCUUGCAAUUUCCAUUGUUCCUUCAGAGGAUAAUAAUCCUUAAUUUUUGUCCCACAGAUCUUAUAAAUUUCUUUUUCUUUUAAAGCUUGAAAAAUAGAUAGGCAAAUGAUCUCGCAUCUUGUUACCUUCUAUUAAGUAGUAACUACUAACACACACUAUUUCCAAUUGUUGGAUAACCUGCAUAUGGAGGAUUUUUUACAUGGAUUUUUUUUUUGAACAUCGUCUAUGCAUGGGAUCUUGACAUACAGUGACUCUUUCGCGUAUCUUUUUGCUCAUGAUCUUUAUGGAGUUUCAAGGUCCCCGCUCUGUUACAGACUUAUUAUUAUACCUAUUAGUACGCUAAACAAAUAUUUGACUGAUAUAUUGCAUUAGUAGUUAUUUUUUUACAGUAGGUGUCAACUUUCUAAAAUAACAACUUAGCUUUCAGUACCAAGCAAGUUCGGAUUGGCUGUUUGAAUCUUCAUUGACCAUGUAGCUUCAUUUGAUAGGUGUGAACUUUAUGAUGUAAAAGAAUGUUGUUGAGAUGGUAGAUAUUAUCAUCUCCUUUCCAUCUGAGUAUGGUAAAAGUAUGCUUCUGUAGACUGUAAUACCAAGACUAUCUUGGUGCUUUUAGUAACAAAAUCAUACAUUGCCUUCUCAAAGAACGUAGGAUGAGUAAUCAAAACCAUUUUCCUUCUUCACUUUUCAAGAGAAUUGUGCCUGAAAUUAUCUGAGCUCUGUGAUGGAGGUGUAGGGUCAUUUUACUUUGUUGAUUUAACUAUUAAAGUCUCGGGAGAUUUGUUUCAAAGGAUUCUUUAUUAAGCCGAGAGUGAUGUAUCUGUAUAGAUAGAUCAGCAGAAAAUGUUUCGGACAAAGUUGUGUUUGUAUAUUGGAAUUGUGCUGAAUUAAUGGGCUUCUUUCAUACCAUCAGCUUGACUGAGCUAAGUUUUAGUAGAUCUGUUUGUGUUCUUUGGUCACAGACCAAUAGUGGCAAAAUUUAUCUAUCAUCAGAAUAAGAAAAGAAUAACAAUGAGGAAAAUCACCUUAUUGAAAAACAUAAAUGAACGAGGGAAAAAAUGAUUCUGGAUUGCUGAGGGAAACCGUGUUUCGCCAAAAUGUUUCUCAGUCUUUCUUGAAACAAAAUCUGGAUUUACAGCUAAUUAUAUGCAACAAACUGAUAGGCAAAAGAAAACAUUUACAAAAUUUUUUGUUAGAUUGAUUCUCAGGUAGUCUACAUUUUUAUGAUUCUACAGUACCUGGGAGACGGACAAGUUGUUGAAGUACUUGAUGGGCUGUCAAAAUCAACUUCAUCAUCUAACUGGUGCUCAAGGCAUGGAGCGGUGCUUACUAUUUGUUCAAUGCUUAAGCACAAUCCUGACAUAAUUUGUGCUUCUUCAUCAUUCCCAUUGAUUGUAAACUGCCUCAAAAUCACCUUAAAUGAUGAAAAGGUACAUCUGACAUAUAUCAUUUUACUUAAUAACUUUAUUAUUCUUUGUGGAAAAUUGCAUUAGUCCGAUUGCCGCCGAAACUUAAAAAUGUUGUUUCCUACUUUGUCUUUGAUCCAAUCUUGGAUACAAAAAUAAUUCCACUUUAUAGUUACCUUUAUUGAAGGGAAGGUUUUUGAACUGAAAAUCAAUGGAUUGGUGCUUUUUUUGUCCCAUUAAGUAAAUCAAUCAAUCAGUGUUAUAGUCCAACAUGAACAAGUAGAGGUCUUCUUUUUAAUAUCCGAAGCAUCUUUUUGGUAAGAUACUUUCUCUAUUUUUUCAAUUUUCUGUACACCAAACAUCCACAAUAGGAUUGGGGUUUUUCAUUUUCUUAUUACUCAUCUUAAAAUUUUCAAAUUCUUUACUCAGGAGAGUGAACUGCAGGUGCAAGCAAUAAAACUGAAACCCAUUUUCUUCUUACGUUAUCUUAACAUUUUCAAAGCUCUUACUCUGGAGAUUAAAUUGCAAAUGCUAGCAAUAAAACUAGAAGUGCCUUGCCAAUUUACUCUUUCAGAAAGAGUAAAAGUUAUUUAUAUGGAAACCUGAUGGUUUUUAUUUGUGAUUGCUCCUUUAUUUGUUAGUUUCCUGUUCGUGAAACAUCAACGAGAGCGUUGGGAUUGCUUCUACGUCAACAAAUCCAGAGCGAUCCUUCAAAUGCUACUUCACAUGUGGAAACUCUGGGAUCCAUAGUGUUGGCCAUGCAGGAUGAUUCAAGUGAAGUCAGAAGACGGGGCUUAUCUGCAGUGAAGGCAGUUUCAAAAGUUCGUUCUUCUGAAAUAGUCAAAUAACCAACAUACAUCAUAACACGUGCUCGUCAGUAGGCUCAAUUUUUGUUUUAAAAUUAACUUUGUCGUUUUCUAUCUUACAGGCCAAUCCUGGUGCCAUUGCCAUCCAUGUUUCAAAAUUUGGCCCUGUUCUGGCUGACUGUUUGAAGGAUGGAAACACAUCCGUGAGACUUGCUGCAGAGAGGUGUGCCCUGCAUGCCUUUCAAUUGGCAAAAGGUAUUCCCUUUGCAUUUUUUUGUUAUGCUUAUUAAGCUGCUUCUGGUACUUGCUGAUCCUUUUUACGUAUGUGUUUGCCAAUUUUGUUGAAAUGCUCAAGAAGCUGCUUCUAGUGCUUUGUUAAUCUAUUUCGAUAUUGUAGUCCUCUGAUUUUGGUAUGGCAAGUGUCUAGAGGUUCCUUUCUUGUGUUUUCAGGUACAGAAAAUGUUCAAGCUGCACAGAAGUUUAUUACAGGCUUGGAUGCUAGACGAAUAGCAAAGCUCCCUGAGCACAGGUGAACUGUUUUUAAUUAAUCUAGACUGUAGCUUACUAUUUGCAGAUUGUUUGCUUCUGAUGUGCUAUUUCGAAUUUGUCUGUUGCAUUAUCGUUUAAUGUUAUAUCAUUCACAAGUACAACAUUUCUAUCACAGAAAUUUUUUGACAAUUUUUUUUUUCUGUGAUAGGCUUCUUCUUUACCCAUUUUUACACUUCAUUUCUGUUUUACUGCUUGCUCUGGUUUGGUUCACUACUACAUUAAAUCACCAUGGAAGAUACACCUGCUAUUAAAUUAGUACCAUUUGAGAACUUAAUUAUGGCAGAGAUUCUUUACUCCUUUUGCACAAAAUCAAUAUAAUGGUCCUUAUGUUUUUGGGGCAGGGUUAAAUUAAUCCCUUAAACCUACUCCUGAGUAAUUUUGAUCCUUAAGUUUGCCAAAUGUGGGACUUUUAGUCUCCGUGGUUAGAUUUAAGGAGAGGUGUGUAAAAAAGAUUUUAUAACAACACUGGUAAAGUCCCGUCAAAUUGCAGUAAAAGUACCUCAACAAAAUGCACCAGACACCAAAUGUAGACCAAAAUUAGAGUAAACUGCAAUAAAUGUACUUCCAAAAUGUGAGUUCCUAUUUAAUCAUUAUUGUUUUCACAGUUCCCGUUAAAUCAAACCUCUCGGAUCUUGUAAAUAUUUUGAUGAAGCCCAAGAGUGCUCACUUUUACCAAACUUACAGAAUCAAAAGUGGUUGAGAGUGUAUUUUGGGGACUCCUUUAAACCUACCCCCAAAGUUAGGGUCCUAAUUUUGUCAUUUCUAAGUUGUACCUAGUUCCAUGUAUAUCAUUUGAUCUCUCAUUACUUGACGAGUUCUUGUUCUUUGUUUAUCUACUUUAUGGAGUGCUCUUGGUUAUAUUUGUAACUCAUUUGGUUCUUUUCCCCCUACUUUUGUAACUGGUCUACUUUGACCGAGGAUGCACAAAUUAUUGAACUAAGGUGCAAUAAUUUCAAACGCAAGGAUACUAUUUAACUACUCUCCUAGGGUUGGAGGUCUUGUUGAUUACCAAGUAACAUGGACAACCGCCUUUUUUGAAUAAUUGUCAAGAAGUAUGCAACUGAUAACUGAUUUACCCCUUUUAUUAAGUGCUGUAUUGUGGUGAUCUCUCAUGUUAUCAUAUGUAAAAUCCACAGUUCAGUUUAUUUGCAUCAAAUUGGUGAAAGAGUCUUCAUUUUAUGUUAUUGAAAUGCCUUAGUCUGAACAAUAGAAGGCAUUCACAAAGGGAGUCAAUUUUUUUUAGGUCUUUUACCCCACUCCCCCUCCCUUUUUUUUUUUGGAGGGGAAAAUUCUUUUUGUUCCAUUCGUAGGAUGUUUGGAGAGAAUAAAAAAGGUAAGCUGUAAAGAGGUCAACUAAGAAUCUAAGCUGUACAGGAAAAUCUUUCUGUUGAAGCCCUUGGGAGGAAUUGCUUGCCUGUUACUGUUCGAAGAAACUUUAUUUCUGCUCUUUGAAAAGGAACAUCUAGGAUACCUUUUUUGAAGUGCUUUUAGGAUUCCUUUUUAGCUCCUAAAAUGAUUUCUUGGAAGCUCUCACAAUGACUCCAUCAAUUUUGAGUCACUAAUUUUCCGUUUUUCCCGGACUGAGGAAGCAAUGUUUGAUUUAGCUUGCAUCUCGCAGUAAUAGAGACAAUGAUUAGUCUAUUGUUGAUUUUGUAACAUACUUUUCAGUGGAAAAUAUCUCUCUUAGAUUUUAUGUCUGCUCUCCUCUGAAUAAGAUUGCAAGUAGUUUCUACCCUCGAGGGUUCGUAUCUCAAGCAUCAUUGUUCAAUCUAUAGAUUCCCCUUGCUUGUGCCUUGUAGUCCACAGUGAAAUUUCUCUUUUUUUCUUGUAUAAUCAAUAAAUUACCGAUGGUCAACUUGCACGGUUCAAAACCGGUGGUAAUGGUCCUGCUGCUGUACCCUUUUCCACCUGAUUAUUUGGGUUAGUCCACAGUAUCACUCGAACUCAUGAGUGCACGCUGCCAACACCUCCCUUUCCACUGAACCAAAUCCCUAGGGGCAUUUUAUUUUAGUCUUUCUUUUAUCUUCAUUGCUGCGUUAUAUUGUGCACACUUUUUAGCUUCAACUUUAUUUUCUUGUAUUUGGGCAGCUACGCUUUCAACUUACUCAUGAUAUUCUGACUUUGUUCAUGUUGCAGUGAUGAGAGUGGAGAUAGCGAUAAGGACGCCUCAAGUGGCUGACAAGAUUAUGACCGUAAAUCACUCUUUUGCCUCCAAACUACUUAUCCUCAAGGUCAGUGAGACAAGUAGAAGUGGAAGUUUUGCUUGAGAUUUAAUUAUUUACAGUAACCAUCUUAUACAUAU
Molecule: long non-coding RNA, 33492 nt
Filed under: Capsicum annuum
Lineage: Eukaryota; Viridiplantae; Streptophyta; Magnoliopsida; Solanales; Solanaceae
Description: long non-coding RNA (CANN_LNC019144)
Source: RNAcentral